UUUUUGCGUUAGGGAUUGUAGCGGUUAGCUUUUGCCGAGGCGUGCAUCGAGGCAAAACUAGUAGCGAAAAGCGCGACCCCGC
Molecule: unclassified non-coding RNA, 82 nt
Filed under: Algibacter luteus
Lineage: Bacteria; Pseudomonadati; Bacteroidota; Flavobacteriia; Flavobacteriales; Flavobacteriaceae
Description: Arenitalea lutea Flavo-1 RNA
Source: RNAcentral